AAGAAAUAACUCUUGCUUCUCAGUUUUUACUAUUUAUUAGUGCAAAGCUUUUCAAACACCAAGUGUUCAUCAUCAGGCUUAAAUCACUAUUGAACAAAAUAACCAAGUCUACAAGCUUAUAUACUAGUGUACAAGGGUGUGGUAGUUUAACAGUACAAGGGUGUGGCAGUACAAGGGUGUGGUCAUGUGGAAGAGGGUGUGGUUGUAGGUGAGGAUGUGGUAGGAGUCAUGUCUUCAAGUUUGGUUUUAAUAACAGAAAGUAGGAUAUUUUCUAAGGGUUUUAAGUCAUUAUUUAGUAAAUUUGUUUUGUUUUUCAUCAUGGCUAUUGCUUCCCUAAUGUUUAAUUGAGAUGGUUUAUCUAUUUUUUGUAUGAGGUUCAGGUUUUCAAAGGAAGUAGUGUGGUUGGUGGCAAUGAGAUGAUCUGAGAGAGCAGACUUAUUUUCAUAUUUGUAUUUAGCAUAAUAAAGAUGUUCCUUGAACCUCUUUUUGAUGUUUCUUUUGGUUUGACCUAUAUAAAUUCCUUGGCAAUCUUUACAUUUGAUUUUGUAGAUGCCACUACAGUCUUCAGGUUUGUCUUUGUCUUUAGUGUUACCAAGAAGGUUUUUAAUUUUGUUAUCAUUGGUGAAAAUGGGUUGUAUGUUGUGUUUUCUGAAGACUGUUUUCAUUUUAUUUGUGAGAGGGGGAUAGUAACUGAUCCUAACUCUUUUGACAUCAUCUUUUUCAGCAAUAAAGGUUGUGGCAUCUCUGAUUAGUUUUUUGUUUUCAUGUUUUCUUAUAAGUUUUUGGAUAGAUGUUUUUGUGUAGCCAAGGUUGGAAGCAAUAGACAUGAUGUUUUUUAUUUCUUUAUUUUGGUUAUUUUUAUUUAGGGGGAGAUUUAAACACCUGUGUAUCAUGCUGUUGAAAGCAGCAAAUUUUUGGUUCCAAGGCUGGAAAGAGUCUGAAGGAAUGUAGUUAUUGGUGUGGGUGGGUUUUCUAUAGAUAUCAAAUUCAAGAUGGUCAGAAUGUCUAAUGAUUAACAUGUCCAGAAAAGGGAGUUUGUUUUGUUGUUCAAGCUCAUAAGUGAAUUUGAUGGUAGGAUAGAGACUAUUUAAAGCAUUGAGGAAUUCCUCAAUGUUGAAGUCUUCAGGAAUGAUACACAGGAUGUCAUCAACAUAUCUAAACCAUGCUUUGGGAAAGUUUUUAUUGUUCUUUUUGAAUUUUGUCUCAAGGUGGCUCAUGAAAAAAUUUGCCAAAAAGGGAGAUAAGGGGUUGCCCAUAGCUGUGCCUCCUGUUUGUUUGUAGUAAGUUCCAUUUAUUUGGAAAAUGUUUUGGGAAGUGCAUAAUUUUAUAGUAUUCAUAUAAUGGGUUAUUUCUUUUUUGUUGAUAUUUUGUUCUUUUAGCCAGUUUUCUAUCAUUUCUAAAGUCUCAGGAAUAGGCACACUGGGGAAAAGAUUUUGUACAUCAAAAGAUAUGAGCCUGUCUGUGUCAUUAAUAGUAAUCCCUUGCAGUUUUUCUGCAAGUUCAUAAUUAUUUUUAACUUGAAGAGUUUCAGGAAAAGGAAGGUUUUGGAGGUUACAAAGGAGUUUUUUGGCAAUGUUAUAGGAAGGAGAGUUGAUAUUGGCCACAAUUGGUCUCAUAGGAUAGUUAGGUUUAUGGAUCUUGGGAAGACAGUACAUUUUAGGAACUUUAGGAUUGGAAGGAAAAGGAGUGUUAUUAAGGAAGGGAGUAGUUUUCACCAAACUUUUCACUUCUUUCACCAUUUUAUCCACAGGAUCACUUUUUAACUUCUCAUAAGGUCCUUCAUUAAGAAGGGUUUCACACUUUUCCAAGUAUUCAUCUUUCUUCAUUAUCACUACGGUGUUUCCCUUGUCUGCUUUCAUAUAGUAGACACCUUUCUGUCUCAAGCUUUUGAUGGUGUUGUUGUGGGGAUGAAAUGGAAUUCUUGUUGGUUUAUGGGUUUUGAUGAUGUCUACCACUUCUUUCUUUAUGCUGAUUUUUGUUUCUGAGGUCUCUCUCCACAAUGAAGCAUCCACAUCAGAAAUAAUAUCUUCAAUAGGAGGCCUCAUGGACUUGGUUAUUUUGUUCAAUAGUGAUUUAAGCCUGAUGAUGAACACUUGGUGUUUGAAAAGCUUUGCACUAAUAAAUAGUAAAAACUGAGAA
Long non-coding RNA from Planococcus citri (citrus mealybug), 2139 nucleotides. RefSeq lists it as uncharacterized. The record is from RefSeq and is a predicted model, not a curated record. The transcript has 2 exons. Lineage: Eukaryota; Metazoa; Arthropoda; Insecta; Hemiptera; Pseudococcidae.